UUUUAUUAAAUAGUUCGAUCACGCCCACGCUACUCUCGCGCUCCCACUCCACUCCGCAACCUCGUUCGAGUCGAUAGUUAUUACCGCUGCGAACAGGAGGUGCUACCCGUCAACGCGUACGCACACUAAUCGCCUCACCACAAUGUACCUGAUGCAAGAAUAAUUCGUCAAGCAACUUCUGCACGAAGACAGAGUUCCGAGAGGUAUCUGUUCAUCACUGCUGCACGUUGUGGUCAAAAUACUCUGGGAAUUCUGGCAGUGGGUGUAGGUUGUGUUCUCUUAGAGCAUCCGGGUUCUAAGAGACAGAAUCAGCACUACUCCCUGAGGCGUUUCAUGUACCAUAUUGUUUGAUAGUUUAUUUCUCUCUCUCUCUUUCUUUCCUUCUAUAACGCGUUACAUGUCGAUGUUCAACCUCGGUUCAAACCGGUCUCGGUGACCUCGACACCGACACCGAGCUCGUAGUUGGACCUCGACAUCUUAUUCCGGCGCGUAUACGUGUUCUAUAAUACGACAAGAAAGGAGUUAAAACUCCAAUAAACUGGUAAACAACGACUGAGAACUAAAGUUUGGUGGUUUGGCAUGGAAAAAGACGUCGAGACAUUCUGCAAGCAUUGCCACGGAUGCCAGCUAGUGAGCGCUGCGCAACCACCAGAACCACUGACCAUGACGAGACUCCCGGGAGGUCCCUGGAAAAUGGUUGCAAUGGACUUCCUAGGACCACUUCAAGGUGAUACAAACAUUUUUCUCGUUAUAGACUAUUAUAGCCGCCUCUACGAAGCAAGAGUCAUGAAAUCCAUCACUGCACAGAAGACCAUUGAAGAAUUGGAGGAAAUAUUUUCAAGAUUUGGCCUCCCAGAGCACAUCACUGCAGAUAAUGGAACUCAAUUUACAAGCACUAAAUUCCGGGACUACUGUUUGCAAAACGGCAUCACGCUGAGAAUAAACACCCCGAAAUGGCCUCCAGCAAACGGAGAAGUCGAGAGACAAAAUAAAUCCUUGCUGAAAAGACUUCGAAUAGCGCAAGCUUCAGGAGAACACAUCAUCAGAGCCUUAAGAUAAUACUUGUUUGCGUACCACACGACACCACAUGGCGUAACAGGGAAAACACCAGCAUAUCUCAUGUUCGGGAGGGAGCUCCGAGAUAAACUACCUAGUUACCAGAACAAUUUCUUCAAGCCAAUUACCGACACCGAGGUGCAAGAUCAAGACUUGGAGAAGAAAGAAGCGAGCAAAUCAUAUGCUGACGCGCACAGACGAAGCAGACCGUCUGAAGUUGAAAUCGGAGAUGAAGUACUACUGAAAAGAGACGUUAUUUCCGACAAACUAGAGACACCGUAUCUUCCGCAACCUGGUAGAGUGACGAAUAAACUGGGCAACUCCGUGACUAUCGAAACACCUGAUGGCCGUAAAGUACACAGGAACACAUCCCGUGUGAAGCCCUACAACAAGGAACGAGAAGGAGAAAACCCAAUCCAGCCUUCAGUGGCAGAUAUCCAACAAGAACGACAAGAACCAACGGAGAGGCGUUCCGUGAGACAAAGGCAACCGCCUCAGUGGACCAAAGAUUUUGUUUGCUAAUUAUAAUUUUGUAUCUUUUCAUUUUGUUAAAAAAAAAGAGGAAUGAUGUAGUGUCCUAAUGUACCGACAUGUACGGCCGGGAAUGCAGAUUAGCAUUGACAAGUGACAGGUGAAAAAUGUAGAAACACACUUGUAAUAGUACGUUAAUAAAUACACGUUAUUCUCCGAUUCAAUUCGCAUUUAUUAACACAACAGAAAUACACACAGUUGAGGAGCUACGAGAUCGUAUUUUUAAUGCCGCUAACCAAAUUCGACAGCAGCAAGGGCUCUUGUCCUGUGGCAAUUCCUGGAUAUAUAUGUAUUUCUGCCUGCAAGGGCGACAGCGGUGGAGGUUUGGUGUCUAAAUUCAGAAAGCGUUAUUACAUCGUUGGAGUUGUAAGCAUUUCACCACACGCCACAGAAGGUAGUUGUGAUAGUCAACAAUAUACUCUAUACCCCAGAUUUGGCUAUUAUAUUGAGAAAUUUAUAUUAGAAAAAGAGGCCCGAUUUAGGCCUCGUGUGGACUGUCCAGACGUUCUUAAUUGUAACAACGACACCUCAGUAACUACACCACAACCAACGACAGAAAAGGUUACCACCGAAUCAUCUAGCAGUUAUUGUAUUUUACCAAACCAUCCCGAAUUUGGGAAGUGGAUCGUCGUUGGAGCAAGUGAUGAACUUCAGCCUGGAAUAGCAGUUGCAUCGGAUACUGUAUGUACUUUGUAACAUUGUAGUCUACU
Molecule: RNA transcript, 2297 nt
Organism: Zophobas morio
Lineage: Eukaryota; Metazoa; Arthropoda; Insecta; Coleoptera; Tenebrionidae
Exons: 4
Source: RefSeq, a predicted model, not a curated record